CUUUCCUCCACUUGAGGACGAGUUGUAAAGAACUGCAUCAAUCAACUCAACAAUCAAGUGUCUUCAAAAAAGAGCUCAUCUGAGAAGAACAAAUCCUGCAGGCAUCCAGCAUAAGUUUGCCUGGUUCAAUCUAUAACAAAGCCUUAACAGAAUUCACUGAAUGUGGCCGAUAGCUGCACAGCUCAAAGAGCAGGCCACAGGAAGGAGCAGCUUCUAACGUGUGCAAGGAGAGAAAGGUCCAGGUAAAAGUUAUUUUCAAGACAUUCUACUCUCAGAGCAAAGUGUGGGCAUUGGAGAGACAGGGGCUAUGCUACAGAAACAUGUAGACCUCUACCAAAAUUCGGCUAGAAUGCAAGUCUGAAGAUUCAAGGCAUGCACCAAAAAGGUACCCUGGGAGCUUUCCUAUCUUUGAUGUCAACUGUACUGGAUUGAGAGCCACCUUGAAAUUGCUGAGGCACAAUUCUGCAUGCAUCUGCGAGAUGUUGCCAGAGUUCAGUAGCGGAACUCUCAGCAUGUCUUGGCAGGAGCAUCACAUCACUUGAGACCCAAAGAAAUAAGAAGAAAUGCUGUUUUAUCACAUAGGGAGCACUCAGACUUUUCUCCUUUUUUCCGCGAAUGCUGUCUUCUCAAAC
Long non-coding RNA from Fukomys damarensis (Damara mole-rat), 632 nucleotides. RefSeq lists it as uncharacterized. The record is from RefSeq and is a predicted model, not a curated record. Lineage: Eukaryota; Metazoa; Chordata; Mammalia; Rodentia; Bathyergidae. The transcript is spliced from 4 exons.